GCGGCCAUGGCGGAAUUGGUAGACGCGCUAGCUUGAGGUGCUAGUGCCGCAAGGCGUGGAAGUUCGAGUCUUCUUGGCCGCACCA
RNAcentral lists this transfer RNA (85 nucleotides) under Alphaproteobacteria bacterium. Its description in RNAcentral is "tRNA-Leu". It matches the Rfam family "tRNA". Rfam says of the family: Transfer RNA (tRNA) molecules are approximately 80 nucleotides in length. Their secondary structure includes four short double-helical elements and three loops (D, anti-codon, and T loops). Further hydrogen bonds mediate the characteristic L-shaped molecular structure. tRNAs have two regions of fundamental functional importance: the anti-codon, which is responsible for specific mRNA codon recognition, and the 3' end, to which the tRNAs corresponding amino acid is attached (by aminoacyl-tRNA synthetases). tRNAs cope with the degeneracy of the genetic code in two manners: having more than one tRNA (with a specific anti-codon) for a particular amino acid; and 'wobble' base-pairing, i.e. permitting non-standard base-pairing at the 3rd anti-codon position. Lineage: Bacteria; Pseudomonadati; Pseudomonadota; Alphaproteobacteria. RNAcentral also lists the same sequence under 1 other name. The record is from RNAcentral.